Molecule: non-coding RNA, 156 nt
Filed under: Sphingomonas horti
Lineage: Bacteria; Pseudomonadati; Pseudomonadota; Alphaproteobacteria; Sphingomonadales; Sphingomonadaceae
Also listed under: 1 other name
Description: Sphingomonas sp. MAH-20 6S RNA
Rfam family: 6S / SsrS RNA
About the family: E. coli 6S RNA was the first non coding RNA to be sequenced, but its function was unknown until recently. It consists of 184 nucleotides that fold into an extended hairpin structure with a large single-stranded internal bulge. The 6S RNA specifically associates with RNA polymerase holoenzyme containing the sigma70 specificity factor.
Source: RNAcentral
CGGGUACUGCUCGGUGCGAGCCUCAGCAUUAUCCCUGAGCCGAUUCAGAAUCCUAGGGGGCUGUCCCUGGCCGGGCCCUGGCCCGAUCCACAUGGUCCCCACCUGACGUUUGGGCGUCAGAGGAUAUUCCUGGCAAACGGCCAUAGCGGUCCCGUC